Zootermopsis nevadensis is the source of this 5869-nucleotide non-coding RNA. The record is from RefSeq and is a predicted model, not a curated record. Lineage: Eukaryota; Metazoa; Arthropoda; Insecta; Blattodea; Termopsidae.
GUGCUUUGGAUGGGUCCAUCUCAUACUACCAAAAUCAGUCCUUUGCGCAAGUGCCAGCACUUCUCGUGCGACCUUUAACAUAAAUGUUAUCAUCAUGUGCAAAACCUUGAUAUAAUGUUUUCCAACAGCUGGUUAAACUUAACAAUUAACCAUAACACUGUUAUGAAUGGUACAGUUUCAUGGUGACCGAGUCAGAUUCUCAUAAUUUUUUAUUAUAUAUUUUUUAUUUAUAUAUACAUUAUUUGUGGCGCUGCUUAUUAAUUGGGCAGGUAACAUUUACUUAGCUGAUCAAGAUAUUCCAUGCUGUUGUUCAACACAAAAGUUCAUGGUCAUCAUCAAAACAAAUACUGCUUCAAACCAGUUUACAGAUCCACAUAUACUCUUCUUGCAUGAAGUUCUCCAACAAGCAUAUUAAACACAUUUAUUAUUUUGCUUAUAAACACUAUGUGCCCAUUCCUUCUCAACCUUCUUGAGUUAAUCAUCCUGACAUUCCCACAUGAAUAUUAUUAGUUGUGAAGCUCCUUAUUAUGUCAAUUUUGAGACAGUAUAAUAAAAUAGCUUUUUUAUGAUGCGGUAUUGUCAACCUUGUGCCCAAAUCCACCAUACUAAGGACAGCCCUGUUUUCCUUGUUAUGUAAAUUUUAAGGCAGUAUAAUAGAAUUUGUAUUAAAAUAUAUUUUUUAUAGUGUGGUGUCUUCAACUCUCCCACACAGAGGAUAUUCCUUUGCUAGGUGGCUGUUAUAUGUAUAACUGCUCUGCAUGUCUAGAGGCAUUCUUCUUUGUCCACUAUCCGAUGACAAGUUACUCACUUAACAUAGCAUAUUAAAUAACCACAAAUGGUUUAAUACUAAUUAAUGUUAAUAUGCAGUAAAAUUUGUUAUGAUCUGUUUCAUAAUGUCUUGGCAUUAAAAAAGGCCUUUGUUGUGGUAGGACAAUUUUCUUGUCCCAAACUGCUUAAAGUUAUGUUUAUUUUAUUUUGCGUAGAGUUCCAUUGUUGAUUGACUGUGUAGCAUGUAUGAGAUUAAUCAUUGUUAACCACAAUUGCCAUAAAUGUUGGAGAACAUUAAAUGGAGGUUUUUAUGUUAGCUCAGUAUAUAACAUUUUUAUGCUGUCACAGAAUGGAAAUAUGUUCAUGCUUUCAUUCCAAGAAUUCUUAUAAAACUUUGGACAUGCAAUACAUUUGCACCCCCAGAUAGACUGUAGAAAUUAAUAUUGUUUUGUACAGAGUUUAUAUAAUUAAAAUGUAGUUUUUUAUUGAAUGUUAAUAGUGUAGUGCAUAUAUUUUUGCUCGUAUUUUUGUGUUGCCAUUUUAAGCAUCUGUUUAUCUUGUAACUUUGCAUGAAGUGCCCUUUUUUUUAAGGAUAUCCCUUUAUUCUGUGUUAAGCCUAAAAUAUGUAGCUGUAUUUAUUAAUGAUUAAUACUCAAAGGCUGAUUUUAAAGUCAAUGUUAACUAAGAAAUGUGAUUUAUACUAGAAACCCCAUUUUAUAUCAGCCAUAAAAUCCUUUAAAGUGUGAGUGGUAUGUAAAUAUAAUCACCUUUACCCUGCAGACCAUUUCAGAAUAAUGCGAUGAUUUUUAUAGAUAACAUUAAAAUAUAAGUGAAAAGUAAUAUUCAAAUUGUUAGACUAUGUAAACUUUUAUGAGGAGAAAUUGCACUGGGCCGAUGUAUUUCAGCUCUAAAACUUGUAAAACAUAGAAAUGUGUGAUGAUGUUGCUCUUCUGGGUUUUGAUGCUGUGUGAACUUGUGGGUAGAUGCCAACAAUUCAGAGAAACAUACUGUCCCUAUCUUCAGGCCUUGCCUGUGAGUCACAACCUAGAAGACCAACAUUUUCAUCUUCACCACUGUGAGAACUUAAAAUCUCACAUAGAAAUGAUUGUAAUGUGUAGCCUCUUUGUAAUUUAUUUUGUAUAACUAAUUCAAUGUUGCAGGUAACACUCAGAGUCAGAAUUCUACUUCAUCCCUUUCAGGCUCAAAAAAAAGAAAGGAACUUAAUUUUCUCAUGUUCCCCAAGUUUUGUUGCAUUCUUGUUCUGCACAGUUUUCCUUUCAAGACAGAAAGGGCCAUGAUCUAAAUUAGGAGUAAAUAAUUAAAACUUUGGUAUUUAAUUCUGCUAGUUUCCUUAGUACAUAUAACUACACUGAAAGUAUCAAAUAUGGUUUUCUUUGGUCAUGUGCAAGUAAAGUAAUUUCAUAGUACAAAUAUCUUUACUUAACACUAUUAAAAUCCUUCUUAUUUCAAGAUAUCUUAUUGAAGUGCAGUCUGCGGUAUAAUUAAUGUACAUGGAAUUUCAGAAGUUGGAUCUAAUAACUUCAUCAGAUUGACAGUUAUUGUAGCGUUUUAACAUGCACACUGACAGUUGGGAACUAUCAAUGUAUGUUUACUUGUAUUAAACACCUACUUUUGGAAAUUUUUUAUGUUUUGUAAGGUUUAGCAAUUGUUCAUGUAGUCUGUGCUGCAGUCGGUAGAAGUCUGUUACAGACUUGUUUGAUAGGGAACAUUUUAGGCUACUUGUAAAAAGAUGAAUUCUGUAAAUUGUAAAUGUUUGAAUUGUUUAUAGCUUUGGCUUUCAGGGAUAAGCCAUGUCAACUGUUGAAGUCUUUAUUUUUCAGCACAUAUUGCAGUUGCUAACUUUAGAUUGAACUUUGGGGUGGAGGGGGGUAGGAAACCCUUUGUUCAGCUGUGGAAGGUGUUUGAUGUGAUUGGGCAAGCAGAGGAUCAGGUUUUAUUCAAUGGAGGUGAACUUCAAAUUAAAUUUGCUAAAUUGUCUCUUGGAUGCCUGGGUUACAGGGAUAAUUUGAUGUGUUUUCAAUCAUGUAAUUUUGAUGAACAUAAGUGGAUACUAAAUCCAUGUAGUUUUAAGCUAGCAUACAAGGUAAGUGGUCAGUCAUCCUGGGAUGGACCAUCACUCUUGCUAAACAGUACUGUAGCACUCGGUCACCUGAAGAGUGGAGAUCGAGCUUCCAAAGUGCCGCACAGCCUCAAACAAUCUUGAUUCAUGAAUGAAUCCACCAGUGUUACACAAGGACCUUCUAAUGCUUCACUGAUGUAGUGAUGAGGGUGUUUGGAUUGAAGAGCAAAGAUAAGAGAUCUUUCUAAUGAUCAUAAUACCAACAAACAGUUGCAUCAGAAUGCGGUCUGAAUAAAACACCUCAUCCUUACAACAUAUCAAGCUUUUCAGUAUCAUAUUUGGCUGUAGCUGAGUGCCUCAAAUUUAGUACAUCGUAACAUUAAAUUUUAGUUUACAUGCUGGAUUAUUACUUCUCCUUUGCUGCCCCACCCCUUUAUCUGUUUCAGUACACAUUUCUUUGUAUUGAUAAUAUUUUAAAGAACCUAAAGCCAAUUUACCUUAAGGUUUCUGCCUCAUACAGUCCUUCCCUGUGUAAUGCAUAAUAAAAUGUAGUACAUAGUGACUAAAAACUUAUAACAAAACAGACUGAAUAUAAAGUAGUAAAUUUAUUUUUAUUAUUAAUGUUUUAAAAUUUUGGAAGAUAGUCAGGGAAUCCUCCGUUGAGUAAUAUAAUUUGAUUUUGAUGUCAUAAGCUGACACUUUGCAAUUUUGACUCUUAGUUCUGAUAUUCUUCCAGUUUAUUGGUGACAGUGCUGAUAGUUUUCUCAUGUCAUCAGGGGAAAAUAAUGACAUAAUUUACCACAGACAGUUCUAUUUCCUAAUCUUGGAACAUUUUUUCUUCUUCUCAUAUUGAUUUUGAGUCUCACAUUUAUAGAAAUCAGUUCCCAGGAUCUUAAUCUGUAACAUUUUAUCUGCAUUUGUGGCUAGCCCAUGGCAAAACCCCUGGAUUGAGGGAAAUAUGGUGAUUCAUAGAGUGAUUGGUAGUAAUGGUAAAUGCACAAAAAUCAUGCAUGAGCAUGCCUUGAGUCACACAGUUCUAGUGUUACUUGUAAUAUUUUACCUGUUGUAGUGUGGUACACAUUGGCUACACUUCUUGAAUCUAUCUCUGCCUGUAACCUCUUCUUUAUGCAGUUUGCAAAAUUAACUUCCUGGUAUGGACUUCUGGCUUUCAAUUUCCAGUAGAGGCCUAAGGUCUCUUCUCUACCAUGUCCAGAAUAACUCCUGGGCCCUCCCAGACAUGUCUUUAAUGGAUACCAGCAGUUAUUUCCUUGGUGUAAGAGCAUAAGGUGAUGAUUUAGCUUCCUUUGUUAUCAAGGUACAGAAUAUCCAUCUUUGUGGCAUAAUUAAUAGUAGCCAUUGUUGGUUCUGUUUGACCUAAACGUAUGAUAAAUUAACAGCUGAUAGAACAAGAUGUCAUCUGCAUAGAUGCUAUUAGGCAAUGUGAACUGAUCUGAAAAUGGAGGACUGAAAAGUGUUCGGUAGUGGUCGGACUUCUAAAUUACAUUUCUAGCUGACCAUUUAAAAGUCUGCACGUGUUUAAUUUUUCUUUUCUUACAAUAUAUGCAUUAUGUUCUAUAUACUACAUAAUUACAACAAAUUACAUCUUAGUCAAUUUGCAGUUCUUUCAUUGUGUUGCUUUUAAUCUUGCUGCUACUGAUAUGAGGUGUGUUGUGUAUGACUAUAGCCUAGAAUACAGUCUUGAUAAAAUCACAGUAGCAGGAUAUGUUCAUGUCAUAAUAAAAAGGACCAAAAAUGAUACCUGAUCAGAAUAAUGUUACAGAAAUUUAGUAAUUCAUUAGAUUCUUUAUACGCUUAGAAAAUCUAAAAACUUAAGUGUUUAAUUCCUUCAAUGACCAAUUGAGACUACACAAUAAAAAUUCACUUUCUUUUCCCACCUCUCCAUAUUUAGUUGUAUAAUAUAUGUUUCAGCACAUGUAUAAUUCUUAAUAUUUAUAUAAUAUACUUUAUUCUUGCAUUAAUGGUAGUCUGGAACCAAUGCAUGGGCAUAACUGUACCAUGGUUAUUUUCCUUUCUAAAGCUCUUUUAUUUUGUUUAAUUAUUCCACAUGCAAGCAAGUUACAUAUAUAUUUUGAAUUUAUAUUGCUAAGUCUUUAUAUGUAUCAUGUAUACAGUUGGGGAAGAAAAUGCAUCAUUAUGGUUAAAUGACAAUACACCAAACGGUGUUUCCUUUGAAAACAAUUUCACCAAUUGAUGUGAUUGAAACUAAUAAUUAUUUUUAAACUGAAAUGUUGAAAUACUUAUUAGUUUUAUUAUCUUCAUGUAACUCAUGGGAUUAUGUAAGUCAUUUCUUUUAUUAAAAAUGGCACAUUAUAUGUUACAGAUUAAUAUUUUAUUAUAAUUAUAUUAGUUUUUCACUCUCACCAGCAUUGAACUUGUGAUUGUUGCCUAUUUGGGUCUGGGUCCAUGAUAUGCCCUUUUAAUAAUGCCUACAUGGCGUAUAGUGGGACAAACUUUACUUUUUUACUUAUGUAGAAAUUAAAAACUGCUGAAUUUUGAAGUCCAUACACAUUAGUUUGAUCAGCCUAUUUCUCCGGGGAAUUUAAGAAGGCACCCUGAAAGAAUAUUGUGUUUAAAUCCGUAGUAAAUUUGUCUCACAUUUCAAAAUGUAGGUGUAAAAUUAUAAUGUUUUUAUAUGCAUUUAAUUGUAACUGGACCCUGGUAUAUCCAGUCUCAUGAAGUAAGUGCUGUUAAUAAUGUCUAUUUAUUUACUUCAUUGUUUGAGAGAGUUCAGUAUAGUUAUCAGAAGUUAGUGCAUCCACUUACUUUUGUAAGGUUAUGGUAUGUUUCAGAUUUUAGCAAAAUAUUGGCAAUGUACAUACAUGAAUUUACAGAGACUGGAGGUUGAAAAGAGAUAAACAAAUUUUAAUGGAUUAAUAUAUCCACACAAAGAAUAAAAUGAAAUUGUAUGAGAGAUGUUAUGUUAUACGUAUCUGACAUUUCAAAUAUUGUACAAGUGUGAAAACUGUUAUUCAAAAAUAAAGUGAAAUGUAUUUAACUGAA